Long non-coding RNA from Notothenia coriiceps (black rockcod), 1243 nucleotides. RefSeq lists it as uncharacterized. The transcript is spliced from 2 exons. NCBI's taxonomy places the organism in Eukaryota, Metazoa, Chordata, Actinopteri, Perciformes, Nototheniidae. The record is from RefSeq and is a predicted model, not a curated record.
CCUCCCAUCGGACAAAGAAAGAAAUACCAAUAAAUCCGUCAGACAACUAGCUGGCAGGCCCCUCAGCAUACUGCUUUCGGUGCUACUUGACUAUGAGUGUGAAUGUGUGAGAAUUAGCUUAAGGCGAUCAACUAACCCCCCCCCCUCUCUAUCCCAGGCGUUUCUCCCCUCAGUGUGUGAGCUGUAACGAGCCCAUCGUCCCCUCCCCGGGCAGCGAGGAGACGGUCAGAGUGGUGGCUCUGGACAAGAACUUCCACCUGAAGUGUUACCGUUGUGAGGAUUGUGCCCGCCCUCUCUCCAUAGAAGCCGAUGAAAAUGGCUGCUACCCAUUGGAUGGCAAGAUCCUGUGUAUGAAGUGCCACACCCAGCGAGCCAAGCAAGCUGCGCAGUGAUUGGCUGAAGCGGCGUUACUCUCCGAUUUAACUAUGAACCAAAAUCCAAAAGCACAGGAUUCAUCCAGCGGCCCUUUUGCCUUGGCAGCAGUCAUUCAGUGUACAUGUGCAGGUGUGUGUGUGUGUGUGUGUAUGUGUGUGUGGAGCAGUGUGUCUGCAUGCAGAUCCAGAGUAGUAUUCCCCUCGUCUUUGUUCUCUUCAGUGCAGAAGUAAUGUACUGCAUUGAUUUCCAUCUUUUAUCCCCGAACUCAUCUAGCCCUCUUUGUGUACAACCACAUAUUUUUUGUGCAUAUUCCUUGUUUACGCUAAACGUUUCCAGCAUAACUUGCACAAGAACAGUCAAAAGAGCAGUCUGAUGAAUAUAAAGUUGCCUUCUCGCGCCUCCAUAUUGUAAGUAGCAACAAGAAAUUGCCAUUUGAAGCGUUCACUGGGCGGUCUCUGUCCCUGUGAGCAUGGUAACGAAGACGCUUUGUUACCAUAGGCUGAGAAGUGACACAUUUGACCACACAGAUUUCACCACUCCGAUUGGCUGCUGGUUGAGAAUAUCUUUAACAUGUUGGUAGUUUUUGUGCCUGCACGCGUGCUUAAUGAUGCUUUCCUGCAUAGAGAGUGCUUCAUGUCAGCCAAUCUACUCCGACAGCAUCUUAAAGACGUCUAGGGCUAAUCAUUAACUGCAAAAAAAAACAGGGAUUGUUGCUCUUAGUUUGUGAAUUUAAUCAUUUACAGGCAUGCGUUUUCACUGUCUCGUAGCUUUCUCUCCUUCAAUCAUACACACAGUAAAAGGGCAAGAUCAGAACAAAAACGAGUCCCUUGAGUAUUUUUACAUGCAUGCUUUUUGAAUGCACAAUUAU